RNAcentral lists this long non-coding RNA (403 nucleotides) under Dermacentor andersoni. RNAcentral describes it as "uncharacterized LOC126525105". Lineage: Eukaryota; Metazoa; Arthropoda; Arachnida; Ixodida; Ixodidae. The record is from RNAcentral.
AAAGCCGGUCGUUUCUCGUUGUAUAGCUUUGACGUGUUUACCGGGCAAGAGUAUCCCUGUGACGUGCUGGCUCGUCAGUGUCUUCUUUAACUGCAGUACAGCCGGCCGGACACUAUGAAGCGUGCAGUCGCCAUUCUGUGCAUGGUCGCUUCGGCAACGAGCGGUGUGCUGUCGGUGCCCCGGGCCCAAGCUUCGUACAGAAGUGUUCAAGAGCGUAUAGGGCAGCUAGCAGAGGGGUUCAACGCUCUUCAAGAUUCCUUCCAACCUCGACACUGCGCAGACCUCCUUCACAACGGCCAAAACACUAGCGGUGUGUACACCGUGUUCCAUGAGGCCACUGGCCCUUCAAGACAGAAUGUAUACUGCGACAUGGACACUGACGGCGGAGGUUGGACAGUAAGGA